AGGAUGAGGAAGAAGAGCGGAGGGAGAGAGGAAGAGAGGAAGAGAGGAAGAGAGGAAGGUCAUGUUUCUGCACCAAUCAUCCUUCAGCCUCACUUUUACAUCCUAGUUUAUUCCCCUUCUCCUUUCCCCUCUCCUCAUCUUCCUCUCCUCCUCCUCCUCUUCCUCCUCGGG
This is a non-coding RNA of Xyrichtys novacula (pearly razorfish), 171 nucleotides long. The record is from the annotation of a GenBank genome assembly. NCBI's taxonomy places the organism in Eukaryota, Metazoa, Chordata, Actinopteri, Labriformes, Labridae.